This 768-nucleotide ribosomal RNA is filed under the name Carpophilus sexpustulatus. RNAcentral describes it as "partial 16S ribosomal RNA". The stretch from base 1 to 562 matches the Rfam family "Bacterial large subunit ribosomal RNA", at positions 1844 to 2925 of the family's 2925-position model. The record is from RNAcentral. Lineage: Eukaryota; Metazoa; Arthropoda; Insecta; Coleoptera; Nitidulidae.
UUUAAGGUCUGACCUGCUCAAUGAAAUUUUAAAUAGCUGCGGUAUUUUGACCGUGCAAAGGUAGCAUAAUCAUUAGUUUUUUAAUUGAAAGCUGGAAUGAACGGUUGGAUGAGAAAAAAACUGUCUCUUAAAAAUUUUAUUAGAACUUUAUUUUUAAGUAAGAAAGCUUAAAUUUAUUUUAAAGACGAGAAGACCCUUUAGAGUUUUAUAUAAUUUAAUAAUUUAUAAUUAAAGAAUUUAUUGUUUUAAUUAUUGAUUUAUAUUUGGUUGGGGUGAUUGAAAAAUUUAAUAAACUUUUUUUUUUUAUAACAUUUAUUUAUGAAUAAUUGAUCCAUUGUUAGUGAUUAUAAGAAUAAAUUACCUAAGGGAUAACAGCGUUAUUUUUUUUGAGAGUUCAAAUCGAAAAAAAAGAUUGCGACCUCGAUGUUGGAUUAAAAUUAAAUUAUGGUGUAGCAGCUAUAACUUUAGGUCUGUUCGACCUUUAAAAUUUUACAUGAUCUGAGUUUAAACCGGCGUGAGCCAGGUUGGUUUCUAUCUUAAAUUAUUUUUAAUAUUUCAGUACGAAAGGACCUAAUAUUAUUUUAAUAAAAUUUAAUUAGAUAUAUUGUGUUAUUUUGGCAGAAUAGUGCGAUAGAUUUAGGAUCUUUUAAUGUAAAUUUUACAUUUAACAUUUGAUGUUAAAAGAUUUAUUUUUAUUAUUUUUUUCUAGAUUAAUUUUGUUAAUUUGUGUUUUGGUAGGGGUUGCUUUUUUAACAUUAUUAGAGCGUA